CAAGAUAUUGUCUGGAAGACAUACUGCUUGAGGUGGACCUCCAGGAUGGUGAUCAGACACAGCUGACCUUGGCCCUGGUGUGCUCCUCCUCCUUCAGAGACAUCGUCGCUUAUCAUAGCUUCAGGAAAACAUGUCACUUUUUGUGGCUUGACAGUGUCAUUGAUUGGAGCAGGUUCUCCAACAAGUAGACGCAGGACUUCCAGAGAAUGUAAUCUGUGCUGAACUGCUCACGGUGCUACUGUUUAUACAAGAGCUGCAUGCUGGGUGUGUUGGAAGAGGAAGGCAGGGGGGAGCUGCAGGGGAUCUCUUCUGAAGAUCCCUACCCUGGAUUCUGCAGCAAUUUCUGCCAAAGUCUUGGGAUCUGCAACACCUAAAGAGGUGUGCCUGACUUUGAUGAUUUUGUUGUAAAUAACCAAUAAA
This is a long non-coding RNA of Seriola aureovittata, 420 nucleotides long. RefSeq lists it as uncharacterized. The transcript has 3 exons. NCBI's taxonomy places the organism in Eukaryota, Metazoa, Chordata, Actinopteri, Carangiformes, Carangidae. The record is from RefSeq and is a predicted model, not a curated record.